This 201-nucleotide ribosomal RNA is filed under the name Triticum aestivum (bread wheat). RNAcentral describes it as "partial small subunit ribosomal RNA". The record is from RNAcentral. Lineage: Eukaryota; Viridiplantae; Streptophyta; Magnoliopsida; Poales; Poaceae.
AUGAAGAAUGGAGGCAAUUCAAUUGGUGUUGCGUCUGCAAUUUACGAAGAAUGCUCCUUUCUAUGUCAAGGUUUUGUGAAUGUCAAAUUCGAUCAUUGUCCUAGGGAAGCCAAUCAAAUUGCGCAUAUUUUAGCUUGUAAUUCUAAUGUUUCUCUUACUAACAGGCGGCAGCUAGCAGGAAUCUUCCCUUUUUUAUCUUAA